CCAAAUGAAAAUCAUACGGUGGCUGUAUCUCUAUGGACUGGUAAUUAUGGUUUUGGUCCAACCUAGCUGGCAGAUUGUCCUCAAAGAUACGUCUGAUGAGUCUAGAUGGCAAUCUUAUGAAUCCAAAAGCGCCCAAAGUUUUAUGUCCAACAUUAAGCGACACUCCGAGGGCACCUUCACAAGCGAUUUUACUAGAUAUCUGGACAAGAUGAAGGCCAAGGACUUUGUGCAUUGGCUUAUCAACACGAAGCGAUACAGCUCUACAAAAAGGUACAUUAAAGAGGAUCCCAAUGACAUCACCUUCCCUUCUGAUUUCACUCCCUUUUAGGUACAAUUAGCCACCCAGAGCAAGAAAUCCAAUUUGUGGCAGUCUCUUCCCUUAGACAGCUACUGGAUCCACUCGCACCUGACAGCGACUGAAUAGUUUUAACGGAAGGAUCUCUCGGUGAAACUUAAUGGCGUCCGCUGUUCCUGGUCUCCAAGCUAUUGUAACUGCACGGUGACAUGCAAUAUCCAACACGCCUACCACUGACCAAGUCCAAGUUGGAAUGCAUUUAUUUGGAACCUUUGUUCCUAUGUUUUAGCUUUUCUUGUAGCUGCUUUUUGGGCACCAGACGCUUUUGAAAGUGUU
Long non-coding RNA from Alligator mississippiensis (American alligator), 631 nucleotides. RefSeq lists it as uncharacterized. The transcript has 4 exons. The record is from RefSeq and is a predicted model, not a curated record. NCBI's taxonomy places the organism in Eukaryota, Metazoa, Chordata, Crocodylia, Alligatoridae.